This is a long non-coding RNA of Arabidopsis thaliana (thale cress), 203 nucleotides long. RefSeq annotates it as other RNA. The record is from RefSeq. The transcript has a single exon. NCBI's taxonomy places the organism in Eukaryota, Viridiplantae, Streptophyta, Magnoliopsida, Brassicales, Brassicaceae.
GCUAGACGUCUCUUCAUCGCAUUCACAUAACAUCUCCGUUUAUCACACUGACGAUUCACAGAGGAUAAUGCAUGCGACAUCGAUGUUAAAUCGAAUGAAUCUUUUUUCUUAGUCUUUGGGACAAUGGUCUCCACUAGAAGUGGCUUCUCGCUUGCAUUGUUGGCAGCCUCUUUGAGCAAACUUAGAUCAAACGAAGAGUCGCA